This 447-nucleotide ribosomal RNA is filed under the name uncultured bacterium. Its description in RNAcentral is "bacterial SSU rRNA". It matches the Rfam family "Bacterial small subunit ribosomal RNA", at positions 355 to 825 of the family's 1533-position model. The record is from RNAcentral.
UCGGGAAUUUUGGGCAAUGGGCGCAAGCCUGAUCCAGCCAUGCCGCGUGGAUGAUGAAGGCCUUAGGGUUGUAAAAUCCUUUCGCCGAGGACGAUAAUGACGGUACUCGGAGAAGAAGCUCCGGCUAACUUCGUGCCAGCAGCCGCGGUAAUACGAAGGGGGCUAGCGUUGUUCGGAUUUACUGGGCGUAAAGGGCGCGUAGGCGGCGUGGUAAGUCAUCUGUGAAAUCUCCGGGCUUAACUCGGAACGGUCAGAUGAUACUGCUUUGCUAGAGUGCAGAAGGGGCAAUCGGAAUUCUUGGUGUAGCGGUGAAAUGCGUAGAUAUCAAGAGGAACACCUGAGGUGAAGACGGGUUGCUGGGCUGACACUGACGCUGAGGCGCGAAAGCCAGGGGAGCAAACGGGAUUAGAUACCCAGGUAGUCCCUGAGCGGGCUGGCAAGGCGCAU